Non-coding RNA from Pelobates cultripes (western spadefoot toad), 226 nucleotides. NCBI's taxonomy places the organism in Eukaryota, Metazoa, Chordata, Amphibia, Anura, Pelobatidae. The record is from the annotation of a GenBank genome assembly.
CUCUCCUCCCCCUCCCGUGUCCGUUAGUGUUCUCUCCUCCUCUCCCUCCCUCACAGUGUCUUUUAGUGGUUUCUCCUGAGGUUACAUGUGGGCUUUUCUUUGUAUCCCAAACAAUUCUUCUGGCAGUUGUGGCUGAAAUCUUUUUUGGUCUACCUGACCUUGGCUUGGUAUCAAGAGAUCCUGAAUAUUCCACUUCUUAAUAAGUGAUUGAACAGUACUGAUGGAC